CAAUCAUUCCAUACAACAAUAUAGAGACCUAUUGCAUAUAGUAUGAGAAAAACAGACCAAAACACAAAAACUUAACUAUAACCACUGAACCAUGAGGUCAAGGUCAGAUGACACCUACCAGUUGGACAUGUACACCUUACAGUCCUUCCAUACACCCAAUAUACUAGCCCUAUUGCUUGUAGUAUCUGAGAUAUGGACUUGACCACCGAAACUUAACCUUGUUCACUGAUCCAUGAAAUGAGGUCGAGGUCAAGUGAAAACUGUCUGACAGACAUGAAGACCUUUCAAGGUACGCACAUAUCAAAU
RNAcentral lists this long non-coding RNA (306 nucleotides) under Mytilus galloprovincialis (Mediterranean mussel). The record is from RNAcentral. Lineage: Eukaryota; Metazoa; Mollusca; Bivalvia; Mytilida; Mytilidae.